CCUUAUUUGUCUUAGUAAUAUCUUUGGUCUUAUCACCUGCACCAGAUCGAGGAAAUCAUUCGUUUCCUUUUCUUCUUCCUUCUUUCUUUCGUCUCUUCUUUCUUCUUCUCCGUUCCGUCUCUGUUGUUCUUCUGAUAUUGUUUUUCCGUGUGUAACAAUGAAAAAAAUCGAUUGAUGUUGUUGUGAAUGUGAAGAAGGUGGAGGUGUUGUUGUUAUGAAUUAGGAAGGAGAAGAAGAUUAGGGUUCCUGAGUAAUGAAAUUGAACAAGUAAUUAUGUGGAAUUGAGUAAUAAGAACUCAGAGGAUUCUUAAUUGAGUUGUUUACGGUUAAAGACAAAGGGGUUGAUGUUUGAUUGGAGUUGUAGAAUUGUUCUGAAGAUGAAUCGAAUUCAGGGUUUCAAAGAGAAAUACUUUUAAGGUUGAUUUCGUGAUGAAUAAGAAGAUUUAAGGAGUGGUUUAGUUGAUUGAGGAACAUGGUGAAGUUAAUUAGAUAUUGGAGCUGUAUUGGUGAAAAUCUGAUAGAUUUUAGGGUUUCUUGUUCAUUUCAUAAGAUGAUGAUGGAAGUUGAAGAUGGGUUAUGAGUAAUUUAAUUAUUGGGGAGGAAUUAGAAGAUGGGUUUACUCAAUUUGAGAAUUUGGUUGAUGUUUUACCAAGCUGGUUUGAGGACAGAAGUGAGACAAUUGAUGUUGUGAUGAUGAAUAUCGCAGCUACAUUGAACUAGUGGUGCAGAAAUGGUUGAAAUGAGUAUGAUUGUGGUGUCUGUGUUAUGGUGAUGUUUAAGAGGAUUGGAUGAAGUUAAUCUGGUGAUGAAGUCAGUUAAUGAAUAUGGAAUUGAUAUUACAGAUACUUUGUUGAGGUGUUUGUUCGGUGAGCUUAACUGAGUUAUUGGUGGUUGGUAAUUGUUGUUGUGAAUUGAAUUACAGGGAUUGUAUUGGAACUGAAUUGAGAUGUUGUAGGGGGUAUGGUAUGGUGAGGUACAAGGUUCUGGUAAAUGGUUAUGAAACUGGGAAGUAAGAGGAAGUUGAGUUGAGAGUGUGUUGAUAGAAUGAAGAAAAGUUGGAAUGGUGAUUAGAAUUGUAAAUAGAGGUUGUUGUGAAAGCUUGGAACUGCUUUUGCAGGUAAGCUGAAUUGUGAUUUAGAAUGCACUUGUUAUAAGUUAUUUGUGUUCAAUGUACUGUUGUAUUGAAUUGAUGUUGAAAUGUAAAAUUAGUAGAUGAAGGUGUAAGAUUUAGACUUGAA
Molecule: long non-coding RNA, 1238 nt
Organism: Papaver somniferum (opium poppy)
Lineage: Eukaryota; Viridiplantae; Streptophyta; Magnoliopsida; Ranunculales; Papaveraceae
Exons: 2
Source: RefSeq, a predicted model, not a curated record